Long non-coding RNA from Diceros bicornis minor, 626 nucleotides. RefSeq lists it as uncharacterized. NCBI's taxonomy places the organism in Eukaryota, Metazoa, Chordata, Mammalia, Perissodactyla, Rhinocerotidae. The transcript is spliced from 3 exons. The record is from RefSeq and is a predicted model, not a curated record.
AUCUGUCACUCCUGCCAUAAUAUGUAGCACAGUAAUAAUCAGCCUCGUCCGCAGGCUGGAGCCCAGAAAUGAGCAAAAGGCAUGGAUUGGCCAAGGCAUCUUUGGAUCCAGAGAACUGAUUGGGGACCCCGGCGCCAUGGUGCAUAUCUGAGUCCGACUUGAAACUCAGGAGAUACCGGGGAGGGCUUCCUGGUUUCUGCUGGUACCAGCAUACCCAGUAGUCACCAAGACUGAAGCCACUGCAGAGUGCAAGUGGUCUCAAGAGGAAGGGAACAUGGUCCCUACUCUGGAGUCAGUCACUUGCUGAGGAAAAAUCGAGGUGAUGAGAAAUGUGGGGCAUUCUUGCUGGCUUUAGUCUGGAGAGCCACACUGAUUCUGGGGUCCUGCCAGGAAUGAGCAUCAGGGUGCAGAGAUGGAAACUGGUCUUCCAGACAGGAGCCCAGAGUAGUCAAGGAGAUCGAGUGAUCAGACCUGGAGCCAAAGAACCCAUUCGGGACCCUGAGGGAUGGGGACCACCAGACAUCACCAUUUGGUGCUCCUGUCUGGGAGCUAUUGGUGCCAGGACACAUCACACACCCAACUCUGCUGCUCUUUCCAGCCAAGAGAAGCUGACCAUCACAACCAGA